Molecule: ribosomal RNA, 920 nt
Filed under: Flavobacteriaceae bacterium
Lineage: Bacteria; Pseudomonadati; Bacteroidota; Flavobacteriia; Flavobacteriales; Flavobacteriaceae
Description: bacterial SSU rRNA
Rfam family: Bacterial small subunit ribosomal RNA
Source: RNAcentral
GGUCAUACGGUGGAUCGCGAGUGCUGUCCGUAAUUAGUGGGCAUGCAGUGUUCUAGGCGGAUGUGUAAGUCAGGGGUUCAACUUGGUAGCUGCACUAGGACACGGCACAUUGAUAGUGCAGAGCUUGAAUAAUAUGUAAGUAACUAGACUAUGUAGUGUAUCGAUGUGAUGAUUAGAUAUGACAUGGAAUGCCAUUUGCGAAGGCAGGUUACUCCGUAUUUAUUGACGCUGAUGAACGAAAGCGUGGGGAGCGAACAGGAUUAGAUACCCUGGUAGUCCACGCCGUAAACGAUGGAUACUAGGUGUUCUGUUUUCGGAAUGAGUGGCUAAGCGAAAGUCAUAAGUAUCCCACGUCGGCAAGGUUUAACUCGAAUGAAUUUCCGGGGAACCGCCCAAGCGGUGGACAAGCGGUUUAACUUGGAGUCUAAUUGAAUAACCUUCGAGGCUCCUUACCAGGGCUUAAAUUUCCAGAGACGGAUUUGGACUCAGAUUUUUCUUCGGACAAUUUACAAGGUGCUGCAUGGUUGUCGUCAGCUCGAACCGUGAGGUGUCAGUCUAAGUCCUAGCACGAGCGCACCCCCUAUUGUUAGUUUCCAGCGGGUUACUCCGGGGACUCUACCAAGACCACCGGGGCGGACGGUGAGGAAGGUGGCGAGUCCUCAUGAUCAUCACGGCCCUUACGUCCUGGGCCACACACGUGCUACAAUGGCAAGUACAGAAAGCAGCUGCCUGGCAACAGGAUGCGAAUCUCCAAAGCUUGUGUCAGUUCGGAUUGGAGUCUGCAACUCGACUCUAUGAAGCUGGAAUCGCUAGUAAUCGGAUAUCAGCCAUGAUCCGGUGAAUGCGUUCCCGGGCCUUGUACACUCCGCCCGUCGAGCCAGGGAAGCCGGGGGUCGGGAAGUCGGCCCCGCGAGGAGCUU